Mytilus trossulus (common blue mussel) is the source of this 838-nucleotide long non-coding RNA. RefSeq lists it as uncharacterized. Lineage: Eukaryota; Metazoa; Mollusca; Bivalvia; Mytilida; Mytilidae. The transcript has 3 exons. The record is from RefSeq and is a predicted model, not a curated record.
GCCAUUUAUAACUCGCAGCGACAUUAAGGUGGUUUUCCCGCAAAACCGAAUAAAAAAACAGUGCAGGAGUUAUUUCCCCUAUCUAGAUCAGAAUGUGUAAUGGCGGGCGACUUUUGACGUUGCAGACACAGUAACAAAUGUAGCAAUAGGUCACCUGACAAUAACAGGAUUGAGGUUACAGUAUGCCAUUCAAGCUGUGAUGAAUUAUAAAGUUUGGUUUGAAUUUGGAGAGCUUCAUUACAUGUAUUAUAGACAGGGAUGAAGACCUGCAGUCAGACACCAGUUAAAAGUUACUUAUAACUCAUCAUGGCCAUUAUGGAAGAUCUGAUUAAAAUUUGUCUAGAAAGCCACCAAAUAUGUCCAUGAAAAAUAGAAAAAUGACAGCAAUUCUACAUAAUGCACCGUACUAAGUAGAAGCAUUGACUGUUUCAAAACCAAAUAAAUUGGAAUUUAGUGUAUUGAUGCUGAAAUAGAGAGGAAUAUUAUUAAUUGGACAAUUUAACUUCUUUUUCAUCAUUAUUGAAGUUGAUGUAUACCAUCUUAAAGAGUUUUUACUUGACACAUGUGACAGUUAAAAGGAAUACCAAAUAUGCAUAAUAAAGGCCGUUUGGAGAUUUGUGAAUAGUCUUAAAAUAGGAGUUUCAAAAAGGAUUUCAGUUAAAAUAUUGUAUUUCACGGAUGUCAGAAAUGUAAUUUUUUUGUCUCUUUCAUGAAAUGUUUUAAAAAAUCUGCAAUAUCUAACCAAGACGAGUGAGAGAUCUACAGAUAGACAUAUGAUAUUCAGUUGAACUGUAAACAUGGUAAAGGGGAAUUUUGAAAUAUUCAUUUAUAAGACUUC